GAUGAACGCUGGCGGCGUGCCUAAUACAUGCAAGUCGAGCGAACGGACGAGAAGCUUGCUUUUCUGAUGUUAGCGGCGGACGGGUGAGUAACACGUGGAUAACCUACCUAUAAGACUGGGAUAACUUCGGGAAACCGGAGCUAAUACCGGAUAAUAUUUUGAACCGCAUGGUUCAAAAGUGAAAGACGGUCUUGCUGUCACUUAUAGAUGGAUCCGCGCUGCAUUAGCUAGUUGGUAAGGUAACGGCUUACCAAGGCAACGAUGCAUAGCCGACCUGAGAGGGGGAUCGGCCACACUGGAACUGAGACACGGUCCAGACUCCUACGGGAGGCAGCAGUAGGGAAUCUUCCGCAAUGGGCGAAAGCCUGACGGAGCAACGCCGCGUGAGUGAUGAAGGUCUUCGGAUCGGAAAACUCUGUUAUUAGGGAAGAACAUAUGUGUAAGUAACUGUGCACAUCGUGACGGUACCUAAUCAGAAAGCCACGGCUAACUACG
This 495-nucleotide ribosomal RNA is filed under the name uncultured bacterium. Its description in RNAcentral is "partial 16S ribosomal RNA". It matches the Rfam family "Bacterial small subunit ribosomal RNA", at positions 28 to 505 of the family's 1533-position model. The record is from RNAcentral.